RNAcentral lists this long non-coding RNA (381 nucleotides) under Numida meleagris (helmeted guineafowl). RNAcentral describes it as "lncRNA (ENSNMEG00000007113.1)". The record is from RNAcentral. Lineage: Eukaryota; Metazoa; Chordata; Aves; Galliformes; Numididae.
CCAAGGUUUCCCCAGCUAACAAUGUUAGGCUCCAACAUCGCUCAUACUUUCAGCUGCAGAAUUAUUACUGUUAAGAGUAUGAAAGAAAUAUUAUGAGUAACGUUGGUGGCAGCUCUCACCACACUGUCCAAAGAAGGGAGAACCUCCAGCUCCAUGCAGAGCUUGGGAUACCAACAAAGUCUUCAGUCUGCUCAGGAAAAUGUGCUUUUGGAAUCUGAGAGAAGGCUGAAGACUAUAAGGAAGGCAAACGCUAGAGGAAUGUAAAGGAGAGGGUAUGGAGGACAAAAAACCAAAAACCUCCAAACCCUGGUCAUGAAAGCAGUUUAAACAGUAUAAUUUGAAAAAAUGCUGCACUUAUUCUUUCUAGUUAUAACAUCAUGC